CAGUCGCCGCGGUAAUACGUAGGGGGCAAGCGUUAUCCGGAAUAACUGGGCGUAAAGGGUGCGCAGGUGGUUUAACAAGUUAGUGGUGAAAGGCAUAGGCUCAACCAAUGUAAGCCAUUAAAACUGUUUAACUUGAGUGCAGGAGAGGAAAGUGGAAUUCCUAGUGUAGCGGUGAAAUGCGUAGAUAUUAGGAGGAAUACCAGUGGCGAAGGCGACUUUCUGGACUGCAACUGACACUGAGGCACGAGAGCGUGGGGAGCAAACAGGAUUAGAUACCCCAGUAGUCCCUGUCUCUUAUACA
This 301-nucleotide ribosomal RNA is filed under the name uncultured bacterium. RNAcentral's name for it is "partial 16S ribosomal RNA". It matches the Rfam family "Bacterial small subunit ribosomal RNA", at positions 509 to 808 of the family's 1533-position model. The record is from RNAcentral.